UAAGGAGGAUGCGAGCGUUAUCCGGAUUUAUUGGGUUUAAAGGGUGCGUAGGCGGAAUGUCAAGUCAGCGGUAAAAAUUCGGGGCUCAACCCCGUCGUGCCGUUGAAACUGGCUGUCUUGAGAUGUCGAGAGGUAUGCGGAAUGCGCAGUGUAGCGGUGAAAUGCUUAGAUAUUGCGCAGAACUCCGAUUGCGAAGGCAGCUCACUGGACUGCAACUGACACUGAGGCUCGAAAGUGUGGGUAUCAAACAGG
Molecule: ribosomal RNA, 252 nt
Filed under: uncultured Bacteroidales bacterium
Lineage: Bacteria; Pseudomonadati; Bacteroidota; Bacteroidia; Bacteroidales
Description: partial 16S ribosomal RNA
Rfam family: Bacterial small subunit ribosomal RNA
Source: RNAcentral